This 1372-nucleotide ribosomal RNA is filed under the name uncultured bacterium. RNAcentral's name for it is "bacterial SSU rRNA". It matches the Rfam family "Bacterial small subunit ribosomal RNA", at positions 28 to 1381 of the family's 1533-position model. The record is from RNAcentral.
GAUGAACGCUGGCGGCGUGCCUAAUACAUGCAAGUCGAGCGAACGGACGAGAAGCUUGCUUCUCUGAUGUUAGCGGCGGACGGGUGAGUAACACGUGGAUAACCUACCUAUAAGACCGGGAUAACUUCGGGAAACCGGAGCUAAUACCGGAUAAUAUUUUGAACCGCAUGGUUCAAAAGUGAAAGACGGUCUUGCUGUCACUUAUAGAUGGAUCCGCGCUGCAUUAGCUAGUUGGUAAGGUAACGGCUUACCAAGGCAACGAUGCAUAGCCGACCUGAGAGGGUGAUCGGCCACACUGGAACUGAGACACGGUCCAGACUCCUACGGGAGGCAGCAGUAGGGAAUCUUCCGCAAUGGGCGAAAGCCUGACGGAGCAACGCCGCGUGAGUGAUGAAGGUCUUCGGAUCGUAAAACUCUGCUAUUAGGGAAGAACAUAUGUGUAAGUAACUGUGCACAUCUUGACGGUACCUAAUCAGAAAGCCACGGCUAACUACGUGCCAGCAGCCGCGGUAAUACGUAGGUGGCAAGCGUUAUCCGGAAUUAUUGGGCGUAAAGCGCGCGUAGGCGGUUUUUUAAGUCUGAUGUGAAAGCCCACGGCUCAACCGUGGAGGGUCAUUGGAAACUGGAAAACUUGAGUGCAGAAGAGGAAAGUGGAAUUCCAUGUGUAGCGGUGAAAUGCGCAGAGAUAUGGAGGAACACCAGUGGCGAAGGCGACUUUCUGGUCUGUAACUGACGCUGAUGUGCGAAAGCGUGGGGAUCAAACAGGAUUAGAUACCCUGGUAGUCCACGCCGUAAACGAUGAGUGCUAAGUGUUAGGGGGUUUCCGCCCCCUAGUGCUGCAGCUAACGCAUUAAGCACUCCGCCUGGGGAGUACGACCGCAAGGUUGAAACUCAAAGGAAUUGACGGGGACCCGCACAAGCGGUGGAGCAUGUGGUUUAAUUCGAAGCAACGCGAAGAACCUUACCAAAUCUUGACAUCCUUUGACAACUCUAGAGAUAGAGCCUUCCCCUUCGGGGGACAAAGUGACAGGUGGUGCAUGGUUGUCGUCAGCUCGUGUCGUGAGAUGUUGGGUUAAGUCCCGCAACGAGCGCAACCCUUAAGCUUAGUUGCCAUCAUUAAGUUGGGCACUCUAAGUUGACUGCCGGUGACAAACCGGAGGAAGGUGGGGAUGACGUCAAAUCAUCAUGCCCCUUAUGAUUUGGGCUACACACGUGCUACAAUGGACAAUACAAAGGGCAGCGAAACCGCGAGGUCAAGCAAAUCCCAUAAAGUUGUUCUCAGUUCGGAUUGUAGUCUGCAACUCGACUACAUGAAGCUGGAGCCGCUAGUAAUCGUAGAUCAGCAUGCUACGGUGAAUACGUUCCCGGGUCU